Molecule: long non-coding RNA, 4272 nt
Filed under: Heterocephalus glaber (naked mole-rat)
Lineage: Eukaryota; Metazoa; Chordata; Mammalia; Rodentia; Bathyergidae
Description: lncRNA (ENSHGLG00000037401.1)
Source: RNAcentral
UUCUGGAUGAGAUUACAUUUGGCGUGGUAACUGGCCUUCAGUACAGUGUAUGGCCCCUCCCAGUGUGGGCAGGCAUCAUCCCAUCCUUUGAGGGCCAGAACAGAACAAAAGCAAGCAAAAGAAGGAAUUUUCCUCUUUUUGCUGCCUCGUUCCUUGACCUGGGCCAUCUCCCUUCAUCUCCUUACUGCUGAACUGAAAAUUCAUCAUAACCCCACUGGCUGUCAGAUCUUCAGAGUCAGACUGAUACAUCGAUGGCUUACCUGGGUUUCCAGUUUACACAUGGCAGAUUGUAGGACUUCUCAGCAUCCAUAAUCAUGUGAAGACACACCUUUGAGCCAGAAGACAGGUCCUCAGCAGACUUCAGAUCUACUGGCACUUUUAUCUUGGACUUCCUACAUUCCAGAAGUGUAUGAAAUAAACAUCUCCAAGAUAUUUUGUUAAAUAGUAGCCCAGACUAAAUCAGCUCAUGACAUCCUUGCUCAGCAUCCUCCAGAGGCAGGAAAAAGACUCAGUGUAUGUCGAAAUCUCGGGGUUUUGUCACUGACUAGAUCUUGGUCAUGGACCCCCACAGCCAAUCGUUGUGUGGAGGGAGGUGGGAUGAGGGAUGGGUCUGCUGGGAUUAACCAAAUCUAGUUCCCAUGUCCACCCUUGAGCUGGUAGUGAAAUAAUGGUAUGGCAGCUCCAUCAAUGUAGCAAUUUUGGAUUUAAGGAGCUGCACGUCCCUGGAAGAAGGGCGUAGGAGGUAUUGUUGCCAGAAGGAAAAGGAUUUUUGAGUAGAACAAAACAACAGAUGUCUACUAUCAUUAUGUCUAUGAAUUCAUUUGAAAGUAGUCAUUUGGAACUCAGCUUAUAUUUCCUAGUAAAAACAAUCACAUAACAAACCUUUAUAUUUAUGUGGUGUUCAAUGAGGCAAUUUCUUAUCCUUUAUAUUGAUUGACUCCUCCAUCCAAAUUAGGUACCUUGGAGGGGCCAGGACAAAGCCAGAGGAGGAGGAGGGGAAGCACAGGCCUGUCGGGAGCAGCCCAUUUACCAUGACACCCUAUCCCCGCAAUGGAAAUUCUCCUGUCAACAUGCUCCCCUUUCCAGAAUCUAAAGGUUCCCGGGGGCUGGCACAGCCCUGACAAAGCAUGUUCAUGGACUGGUUGAGGCCAAGGGAGACAUGACAGAGGGAGCUGCCCUCUGCCUGCUCAAACCUCAAAGUGUUACAGUGUCACCACUCAAAGUAUACACCCUUCCCAGGCUUUCUAUAGUCAAGGUGGAUCAGAAAUAAGCACCAGGAGGUUGACUGGUUGUAUUGGAACUUCAAAUUCAAAGAAAACCUUACUUUUCCAAGAAUCCCUCCUUAGCACAAGUUUGAGGCAGGCUUCUCACACACCCUGCAAGCUCUUUUUCCUCCUCCCCACUAGGGUUUUGUGGGUGAAGGACAGUCAGUGCUUCCCAAUGUACGAAGAACACCUUGUUCCCAGUAGACUAAUGAGUAGUCAGUGUUCAAAAUCCAGAUUAGUCUAACUCAAUGUUCAAAAUUUUAACAUUUGGAAACCACUUCUGACCUUGUGGGCAAAUAACAAAGGAAGAAUAAUUCAUCCAUCUAUUCAUUUACCCAACCUUAUCUUCAGUCCUUUCUGUUUAGUUCUUCAUCCUGCUAAAAAAAUAUAAACAAAUAGUUGAACAUUUCAAGCACAGGCCCAAGUGCUGCCAUCAUAAGGGGGCACAAAUGUCUGACCAAAUGAGACAUACAGUACCAUGUACUGCAAGAGGCAGGUGAACACAACUGUGGGACCAUAAAAGGCAAGACCAGCUUGGCACCAUUCCCACCACACGUGUGCAUGCACACAUGCAUAAACACAUACACAUACACAUACACAUUUCUGGAGCACAGUUUGUUCGGGUUUUUUUUUUUUUUCUGGUACCAGGGAUCAAACUCAGGACCUUGCCCUUGUGAGGCAGGCGCUGGAACCACUGAGCUAAAACCCCAGCUGGAGUGAGAUAAAUUCACAGAAGUAGGUGAACACUUUGUUCUGCCAACACUUCUGAUACCAAAUGCAUGAGAACUUUCUGCCACAACAGCCAAUUCUCCAAUUCUCUGGACACCAACUGGGUUUCCUACAAUUCAGUUAAACUCCGAUGCUAAUUCCGAGUCAGCACAGACCUCACAGGUGCAGGGCUCAGUCCCACAAGAGCACUCACCCUUCCACCUGUGAUUCUGAUGAACUGGCUGCAAAUCCGAGGUUCCCAUGACCCCCUUCUUGGUUGGGGUAAUUUGCUAGAAUAGUCUUCAGGAAUCAGGAAAAUACUUUACUUACAGUUACCAGCUUGUUAUAAUGGAUUCAACUCAGAAAACCACCAUAUGGACGAGAGGCAGAGGGCAAGGAAUAGGGGAAGUACCCUCUUCAAGUUCACCACCCUCCCAGCACCUCGAUUUGUUCACCCCCAGAAGCUCUCUGAGCCUGUGGUUUAGGGAUUUUAUAGACGUUUCACUCUAAAUUUAAAAUCACUUUAAAGUGAAAUCACCAACCAUUAGCAAUUGUUAAAUCCAUCUCCAAUCCUCUCUCCCCGCCCUGGAGGCUGGGGCUAGAACUUUCAGCUCCAACUCCCUCAUUGUUUCUCUUUCUCUAUAGACCAGCUCUCAUCCUGACGCUAUCUAGGGGUCCAAUAAGAAUUGGAACAAAAGACUUUCCUAUAACACAGGAAAUGCCAAGGGAUUUUGGAGUUGUGUCCCAGGAACUGAGGGGGAGAUUCCAAAUAUUUAUUUUUUCAUAUCAUAGGAGUUUUUUAUAGGUUAGCUCAAAAGAGUGAAAGAAGAAAGAAACAUUUUAACAUAGUAACAGUCAUUAGGCUAAGAGCUUGUCUCUCGGCAGUGUGAAGGCCUGCACGGACAUAUGUAAAGACACAAAAAUAAAGGACAAUAGCUCAGGGCAGCUAGAACAUAGCCUUCAAGUUGGGAAUAAUGGAAAAUAUAAGGCUGGAGGGGUGGGAAGGGCCCAGUUUGGAAGAAUGUUUUAUCCUAUGCAGAAGAGUUGAACUUUCUCCUGGAAACAAUGGUGCCUGAUUGGAGAUUGACUUGAUCAGAUUUAUGACUGGGAAGGGUACCUCUGCCUACAGUAGGAAGGAGUGUUGGGCAGGAGUGGAGGAAAUGAAGAGGAAGAGUACACCAUGGAUGGCAGUCAAUUCUCAGAGAAGGAAGUGGCAGUUUGGACUAGGGUAGUGUCUGAGGAAAUGGUGACAAGUGGGAGAACCAGAAGUAGUGUGCAGACCUUGGUUCCUAAUAGAAUUCUCCAACAAAGAAACCAGGGCUCUUUAAGAGACAUUUGAAUCAUAGCAGGAUAAGCUUGGAGCAUCUUGUAGUGCCAGGAAACAAGAAAGUGCUACACAAAGUCACACACACACACACACACACACACCUCAAUAAGGAUACAUCCAAGGGACACAGAACCAACUGAAGAGCUCUCAUUGGCCAAGUGGGAGCUAUAAUAAUUUGAAUAACAAAAUAAACUAGGAUUGAAUUAUAACCCAAACUAUAAAAUAAAUAUCCAUGUGUCUCUGCUAAUACAAAUACAUAGCUAAGUCAAUAAAUGAGGGAGAAGAGAUAAAUUUUCUUUCUCUUUUUCUUUUUUUUUUUGGUACUGGGGAUUGAACUCGGGUCUUUGCACUUGUGUAGCAGGCAGUGAAACCACUGAGCUAAAUCCCUGGCCCUAGGGAGAUAAAUUUUCUAUACCAGAGAAUUCCAAAUAAGUCAUAAUAAGUAACUCAACCUCAAAGAGGUAGAAUGCAACUACUUAUUUCUUAAGUAUGAGGUAUGCAGAGUGACUUCUUUCCAAUUAAUACAGAAUGGUAACAGCAAAAAAAAAAUAAUAACUUUGCAGUGGAGAAGCAUGACAAACACUAUCUAAAUCUGGUGAUCAAGGUCAACAUCAACUGUGAUAAGUCAGGUUAACAGAACGUGCCCCUGAUGUGAUAGGAUGAAGUGUAUUCAAAAAGGUAAAAUGUAGGGCUGGGGAUUUAGCUCAGUGGCACCAUGCCUGCCUUGCAAGUACAAGGUCCUGGGUUCAAUCCCCAGUACCAAAAAAAAGGUAAAAUGUCUUUCAUUCAAUAAAUCUUUAAUGCCUAUAAACUAUACAUUAAUUUGAAAAAUAUUGAGAGCCUCCUAUAGACCAGGUACAGGUCAAAUGUUGGGGAUGCUUUCUACUGGAGGGAGACAGACAAAAAUAAACAAACAUAUAUGCAACAGCUUAGAUAUGGUAAAUGGUAUGAAGAAAACUAAAGCAGGAUAGG